RNAcentral lists this ribosomal RNA (489 nucleotides) under uncultured bacterium. Its description in RNAcentral is "partial 16S ribosomal RNA". It matches the Rfam family "Bacterial small subunit ribosomal RNA", at positions 30 to 507 of the family's 1533-position model. The record is from RNAcentral.
UUGAGCGCUGGCGGCAGGCCUAACACAUGCAAGUCGAACGGUAACAGGAAGCAGCUUGCUGCUUUGCUGACGAGUGGCGGACGGGUGAGUAAUGUCUGGGAAACUGCCCGAUGGAGGGGGAUAACUACUGGAAACGGUAGCUAAUACCGCAUAACGUCGCAAGACCAAAGAGGGGGACCUUAGGGCCUCUUGCCAUCGGAUGUGCCCAGAUGGGAUUAGCUAGUAGGUGGGGUAACGGCUCACCUAGGCGACGAUCCCUAGCUGGUCUGAGAGGAUGACCAGCCACACUGGAACUGAGACACGGUCCAGACUCCUACGGGAGGCAGCAGUGGGGAAUAUUGCACAAUGGGCGCAAGCCUGAUGCAGCCAUGCCGCGUGUAUGAAGAAGGCCUUCGGGUUGUAAAGUACUUUCAGCGGGGAGGAAGGGAGUAAAGUUAAUACCUUUGCUCAUUGACGUUACCCGCAGAAGAAGCACCGGCUAACUCCGUG